Molecule: non-coding RNA, 691 nt
Organism: Cinara cedri
Lineage: Eukaryota; Metazoa; Arthropoda; Insecta; Hemiptera; Aphididae
Source: the annotation of a GenBank genome assembly
AGACAUUCAAAGACCGGUAUCUUCUUUUUUUUAACAGAACGGCGAGCCGCCACCGCGUAUGCUUCUCACAGCUGCAGGGAUGUUAAACAUUUACAAUUUAAACAAUACAAGAUCGAAAUUUAACGACCGACCUCUUAAUAUCUGCAAAAGUAUUAUUAUAUUUUGUAAAAAGUUUGUUUUGAACGUUGUUGGGACGCUACAAGUUAUAAAUUAUAAUUUUAUUCCCCGUUGUACUUUUUAGCGCCAAGUAAUCGUUUUUCGUUUAUUCUAUUUAAAUACCCGCUUCGCUUGUAACUCUUACAGUGAUUUACAUGAGAUUUCUCACGUUUUUCUAAAGUGUCACGUCUCGAAUGCCUCAAAUUAAUUUUUUUCAACUGAGCUGUCUGUAAUUCAUCGUCAAAUAAUUUCACACUUCAUACAUGGAUGUUUAAGAAUUGCUUUUACGGUCAGACGGCUAUUAGUAACAAGCAGAUGGCUUUUACCUUGGAAGUCUCUUUCGUCCUGCACGAUUCUACAACUUUUGGUUUACAACAACUUUGGUUUUGCUGCGACCAGUCUUUGUUAUACUACGCCCUAGGUAUACGAAGUCAGGCACUUGUUCUAUCUGCUUGUUGUCCAAACUAAUAAUGUUGGUCAAACGGCUACAGUUUUACAGUACAGCACAACACGUCAGUAUGACUUUUAUAUUCCU